CAUGCAAGUCGAACGGUGAAGCCAAGCUUGCUUGGUGGAUCAGUGGCGAACGGGUGAGUAACACGUGAGCAACCUGCCCUGGACUCUGGGAUAAGCGCUGGAAACGGCGUCUAAUACUGGAUAUGAGACGUGAUCGCAUGGUCGUGUUUGGAAAGAUUUUUCGGUCUGGGAUGGGCUCGCGGCCUAUCAGCUUGUUGGUGAGGUAAUGGCUCACCAAGGCGUCGACGGGUAGCCGGCCUGAGAGGGUGACCGGCCACACUGGGACUGAGACACGGCCCAGACUCCUACGGGAGGCAGCAGUGGGGAAUAUUGCACAAUGGGCGAAAGCCUGAUGCAGCAACGCCGCGUGAGGGAUGACGGCCUUCGGGUUGUAAACCUCUUUUAGCAGGGAAGAAGCGAAAGUGACGGUACCUGCAGAAAAAGCGCCGGCUAACUACGUGCCAGCAGCCGCGGUAAUACGUAGGGCGCAAGCGUUAUCCGGAAUUAUUGGGCGUAAAGAGCUCGUAGGCGGUUUGUCGCGUCUGCUGUGAAAUCCCGAGGCUCAACCUCGGGCCUGCAGUGGGUACGGGCAGACUAGAGUGCGGUAGGGGAGAUUGGAAUUCCUGGUGUAGCGGUGGAAUGCGCAGAUAUCAGGAGGAACACCGAUGGCGAAGGCAGAUCUCUGGGCCGUAACUGACGCUGAGGAGCGAAAGGGUGGGGAGCAAACAGGCUUAGAUACCCUGGUAGUCCACCCCGUAAACGUUGGGAACUAGUUGUGGGGACCAUUCCACGGUUUCCGUGACGCAGCUAACGCAUUAAGUUCCCCGCCUGGGGAGUACGGCCGCAAGGCUAAAACUCAAAGGAAUUGACGGGGACCCGCACAAGCGGCGGAGCAUGCGGAUUAAUUCGAUGCAACGCGAAGAACCUUACCAAGGCUUGACAUAUACGAGAACGGGCCAGAAAUGGUCAACUCUUUGGACACUCGUAAACAGGUGGUGCAUGGUUGUCGUCAGCUCGUGUCGUGAGAUGUUGGGUUAAGUCCCGCAACGAGCGCAACCCUCGUUCUAUUGUGCCAGCACGUAAUGGUGGGAACUCAUGGGAUACUGCCGGGGUCAACUCGGAGGAAGGUGGGGAUGACGUCAAAUCAUCAUGCCCCUUAUGUCUUGGGCUUCACGCAUGCUACAAUGGCCGGUACAAAGGGCUGCAAUACCGUGAGGUGGAGCGAAUCCCAAAAAGCCGGUCCCAGUUCGGAUUGAGGUCUGCAACUCGACCUCAUGAAGUCGGAGUCGCUAGUAAUCGCAGAUCAGCAACGCUGCGGUGAAUACGUUCCCGGGUCUUGUACACACCGCCCGUCAAGUCAUGAAAGUCGGUAACACCUGAAGCCGGUGGCCCAACCCUUGUGGAGGGAGCCGUCGAAGGUG
Molecule: ribosomal RNA, 1400 nt
Filed under: Microbacterium testaceum
Lineage: Bacteria; Bacillati; Actinomycetota; Actinomycetes; Micrococcales; Microbacteriaceae
Description: bacterial SSU rRNA
Rfam family: Bacterial small subunit ribosomal RNA
Source: RNAcentral